AAAUUGAAGAGUUUGAUUAUGGCUCAGAUUGAACGCUGGCGGCAGGCCUAACACAUGCAAGUCGAACGGUAGCACAGAGAGCUUGCUCUCGGGUGACGAGUGGCGGACGGGUGAGUAAUGUCUGGGAAACUGCCUGAUGGAGGGGGAUAACUACUGGAAACGGUGGCUAAUACCGCAUAACGUCGCAAGACCAAAGAGGGGGACCUUCGGGCCUCUUGCCAUCAGAUGUGCCCAGAUGGGAUUAGCU
Molecule: ribosomal RNA, 247 nt
Filed under: Salmonella enterica
Lineage: Bacteria; Pseudomonadati; Pseudomonadota; Gammaproteobacteria; Enterobacterales; Enterobacteriaceae
Description: partial 16S ribosomal RNA
Rfam family: Bacterial small subunit ribosomal RNA
Source: RNAcentral